UGGGGAAUCUUAGACAAUGGGCGCAAGCCUGAUCUAGCCAUGCCGCGUGAGUGAAGAAGGCCUUAGGGUCGUAAAGCUCUUCGCUGGGGAAGAUAAUGACUGUACCCAGUAAAGAAACCCCGGCUAACUCCGUGCCAGCAGCCGCGGUAAUACGGAGGGGGUUAGCGUUGUUCGGAAUUACUGGGCGUAAAGCGCGCGUAGGCGGAUUAGAAAGUUAGGGGUGAAAUCCCAGGGCUCAACCCUGGAACUGCCUCUAAAACUCCUAGUCUUGAGGUCGAGAGAGGUGAGUGGAAUUCCGAGUGUAGAGGUGAAAUUCGUAGAUAUCGGGAGGAACACCAGUGGCGAAGGCGGCGACCUGGACGGACACUGACGCUGAGACGCGAAAGCGUGGGGAGCAAACAGGAUUAGAUACCC
Molecule: ribosomal RNA, 414 nt
Filed under: uncultured bacterium
Lineage: Bacteria
Description: bacterial SSU rRNA
Rfam family: Bacterial small subunit ribosomal RNA
Source: RNAcentral